GAUGAACGCUGGCGGCGUGCCUAAUACAUGCAAGUCGAGCGAACAGACGAGGAGCUUGCUCCUCUGACGUUAGCGGCGGACGGGUGAGUAACACGUGGAUAACCUACCUAUAAGACUGGGAUAACUUCGGGAAACCGGAGCUAAUACCGGAUAACAUGUUGAACCGCAUGGUUCAACAGUGAAAGACGGUUUUGCUGUCACUUAUAGAUGGAUCCGUGUCGCAUUAGCUAGUUGGUAAGGUAACGGCUUACCAAGGCAACGAUGCGUAGCCGACCUGAGAGGGUGAUCGGCCACACUGGAACUGAGACACGGUCCAGACUCCUACGGGAGGCAGCAGUAGGGAAUCUUCCGCAAUGGGCGAAAGCCUGACGGAGCAACGCCGCGUGAGUGAAGAAGGUCUUCGGAUCGUAAAACUCUGUUAUUAGGGAAGAACAAAUGUGUAAGUAACUAUGCACGUCUUGACGGUACCUAAUCAGAAAGCCACGGCUAACUACGUG
Molecule: ribosomal RNA, 497 nt
Filed under: uncultured bacterium
Lineage: Bacteria
Description: partial 16S ribosomal RNA
Rfam family: Bacterial small subunit ribosomal RNA
Source: RNAcentral